RNAcentral lists this ribosomal RNA (760 nucleotides) under Oehlia cf. diaphanum 589. RNAcentral describes it as "eukaryotic LSU rRNA". It matches the Rfam family "Eukaryotic large subunit ribosomal RNA", at positions 38 to 648 of the family's 3401-position model. The record is from RNAcentral. Lineage: Eukaryota; Fungi; Glomeromycota; Glomeromycetes; Glomerales; Glomeraceae.
GCAUAUCAAUAAGCGGAGGAAAAGAAAAUAACAAUGAUUCCUCUAGUAACUGCGAGUGAAGAGGGAAAAGCUCAAAUUUUAAAUCUGUUAGGUUUACCUAACCGAGUUGUAAUUUGAAGAAGCGCUUUUCUGCGAAUUUGGUUAGUCCAAAUCCUUUGGAGUAAGGUAUCAUGGAGGGUGAGAAUCCCGUUCGGUUAACCAAAGCGCUUUACGACACGCUUUCAAAGAGUCAAGUUGUUUGGGAUUGCAGCUUAAAAUGGGAGGUAAAUUUCUCCUAAGGCUAAAUAUUGGCGAGAGACCGAUAGCGAACAAGUACCGUGAGGGAAAGAUGAAAAGAACUUUGAAAAGAGAGUUAAACAGUACGUGAAAUUGUUGAAAGGGAAACGAUUAAAGUCAGUCGUACCUACGAGUAAUCAACCUACUCGAGUGCGAUUUUGUGGGUAUGUUAGAGCCUAAAAACCUUCAUGCUUACAAAUUGGUGCUCUUUGGGCGUACUUUCUCGUAUGGUAGGUUAACAUCAAUUUCGAUCGUUAUAAAAUGACUGGAGGAAUGUAGCUUCGAUCUCGGUUGAAGUGUUAUAGCCUUUGGUAGAUGUAAUGAUUGGGAUUGAGGAUUGCAACGGAUACCCUCUGGGCUAUUCGUCUGAUCUCUGGAAGUUACCUUGGUGUCGAAAGCGUGCUUACGAUAUUAAGGUUGACGGCCAAUAGGUUAGAACGUGAUUAAAUUCGUUAAGGAUGUUGACGUAAUGGCUUUAAACGAC